This is a non-coding RNA of Taeniopygia guttata (zebra finch), 261 nucleotides long. The record is from RefSeq and is a predicted model, not a curated record. NCBI's taxonomy places the organism in Eukaryota, Metazoa, Chordata, Aves, Passeriformes, Estrildidae.
GAUUCAGAGCCCACAAACAGCCCUUUCGAGAAGAAUUCCCUGACUUGUUCUCAACUUUCUCAAAGCACUUGUUCAAAGAUAAGUUGUGGCGCACGGAAUUCUUCCAACCAUCUGGAGCUGUCUGGAGAAACAAACCCAAUAGCAUCAGAGCUUCUUCCAUUUCAGCCCACCUGAUGUCAGCAUUUCACUAUCCUGUGUCAUGGGUGAGACAACACAAAUUGUAACAGGAAGGAAGAGAGAAGAGAAGAGAAGAGAAGAGAA